UUUGAUCAUGGCUCAGAUUGAACGCUGGCGGCAGGCCUAACACAUGCAAGUCGAGCGGUAGCACAAGAGAGCUUGCUCUCUGGGUGACGAGCGGCGGACGGGUGAGUAAUGUCUGGGAAACUGCCUGAUGGCGGGGGAUAACUAGUGGAAACGGUAGCUAAUACCGCAUAACGUCGCAAGACCAAAGUGGGGGACCUUCGGGCCUCACGCCAUCAGAUGUGCCCAGGUGGGAUUAGCUGGUAGGUGGGGUAACGGCUCACCUAGGCGACGAUCCCUAGCUGGUCUGAGAGGAUGACCAGCCACACUGGAACUGAGACACGGUCCAGACUCCUACGGGAGGCAGCAGUGGGGAAUAUUGCACAAUGGGCGCAAGCCUGAUGCAGCCAUGCCGCGUGUGUGAAGAAGGCCUUCGGGUUGUAAAGCACUUUCAGCGAGGAGGAAGGGUAAUGUGUUAAUAAGACAUUG
Molecule: ribosomal RNA, 465 nt
Filed under: Serratia symbiotica
Lineage: Bacteria; Pseudomonadati; Pseudomonadota; Gammaproteobacteria; Enterobacterales; Yersiniaceae
Description: bacterial SSU rRNA
Rfam family: Bacterial small subunit ribosomal RNA
Source: RNAcentral